Molecule: ribosomal RNA, 292 nt
Filed under: uncultured Alphaproteobacteria bacterium
Lineage: Bacteria; Pseudomonadati; Pseudomonadota; Alphaproteobacteria
Description: partial 16S ribosomal RNA
Source: RNAcentral
GGACUACCCGGGUAUCUAAUCCUGUUUGCUCCCCACGCUUUCGCACAUCAGCGUCAGUACCGGGCCAGUGAGCCGCCUUCGCCACUGGUGUUCUUCCUAAUAUCUACGAAUUUCACCUCUACACUAGGAGUUCCACUCACCUCUCCCGGACUCAAGAUUGCCAGUAUCAAAGGCAGUUCCGAGGUUGAGCCUCGGCAUUUCACCCCUGACUUAACAAUCCGCCUACGCGCGCUUUACGCCCAGUGAUUCCGAACAACGCUAGCCCCCUUCGUAUUACCGCGGCUGCUGGCAC